This 253-nucleotide ribosomal RNA is filed under the name uncultured bacterium. Its description in RNAcentral is "partial 16S ribosomal RNA". It matches the Rfam family "Bacterial small subunit ribosomal RNA", at positions 524 to 776 of the family's 1533-position model. The record is from RNAcentral.
UACGUAGGGACCAAGCGUUGUUCGGAUUUACUGGGCGUAAAGGGCGCGUAGGCGGAUCUUUAAGUCAGGGGUGAAAUCCCGGAGCUCAACUCCGGAACUGCCUUUGAUACUGGGGAUCUUGAGUUCGAGAGAGGUGAGUGGAACUGCGAGUGUAGAGGUGAAAUUCGUAGAUAUUCGCAAGAACACCAGUGGCGAAGGCGGCUCACUGGCUCGAUACUGACGCUGAGGUGCGAAAGCGUGGGGAGCAAACAGG